UCCGGAGUGUUCCAACAGCAGGAUCCACGGCUUUGAACCGUCGGGGUGGGGGUGCAACUCCCUCCUCCGGAG
This 72-nucleotide transfer RNA is filed under the name Labilithrix sp. RNAcentral's name for it is "tRNA-Gln". It matches the Rfam family "tRNA". From Rfam's summary of the family: Transfer RNA (tRNA) molecules are approximately 80 nucleotides in length. Their secondary structure includes four short double-helical elements and three loops (D, anti-codon, and T loops). Lineage: Bacteria; Pseudomonadati; Myxococcota; Polyangiales; Labilitrichaceae. The record is from RNAcentral.